UACGUAGGUGGCAAGCGUUGUCCGGAAUUAUUGGGCGUAAAGCGCACGUAGGCGGCUUGGCAAGUCGGAUGUGAAAGCCCUCGGCUCAACCAAGGAAGUGCAUCCGAAACUGCUGAGCUUGAGUACUUAAGAGGAUCGCGGAAUUCCCGGUGUAGAGGUGAAAUUCGUAGAUAUCGGGAGGAACACCAGUGGCGAAGGCGGCGAUCUGGGAAGAUACUGACGCUGAGGUGCGAAAGCGUGGGGAGCAAACAGG
RNAcentral lists this ribosomal RNA (253 nucleotides) under uncultured bacterium. Its description in RNAcentral is "partial 16S ribosomal RNA". It matches the Rfam family "Bacterial small subunit ribosomal RNA", at positions 524 to 776 of the family's 1533-position model. The record is from RNAcentral.